UGUUGUCUGUAAUUUUUUCGUCUCACCCAAAGUGAUCCUUAUUGUUCUUUUAAAAUUAUAACAUAAUUGUGUGUUUACUGUUCAAAUAUUGCUAAAAAACAUAUUAUUAUUAAAUGUUAAACUAUGUUUUUACGUCCAUGGAAACUGUCUCAUAAUGGCUUAAUAAUAUUGUAUUUUAGAGUUAAAGAAGUGAGAAACUAGCUAAGGAUCAAAAUUAAAAUGGAUGAUUAUUGCUGUGAGACUGUGAUCAAAAUAGAGGAAGAAGAUGAAAAUAGGAAAGAACAAAUUACCGGAGUCUUAGUGGAAAAAACAAAACCGAAGAACAUUGAAAAAUUAUAUUAUAAUUGUUCUACAACGACCAAAAACAAACCUCAACAAAAUAUUAAUGGAAAUCCAUAAAAACUUAAUGAAACAGGAGAUGUGCCAAGAAUUAGAAUUGAAAAAGGCGAGACCGAUGAUUAUUACUGCAAAUACAUAAUUGUAAAAGAAGAAAAAAAUUAGCAACAAAAAACGAUCGACAGCAAUUCAUACGAAUUUACUGACGAGAAAAUUAAAGUUGAAAUUAAAGAAGAAACUGAUGAUUAUAACAGUUUGAACAAUAUAGAUGAAGAAAAUGAAGAUACAAAAGAGAACAUUACCGAAGCCUUAAUGAUGAAACCAAGUCCGACUUGCUUUGAAAAAUCAUAUAAUAGUUGCGGACGGUCCAAAAGUGACAAUCAUACGACUGCUGUAGUGACUGAUGGUUACACCGGCAACGUCGGACGAUCUUACAAAUGUGAUGUGUGCUUAAAGAUAUUUUUUAAAAAAUGCCACUUUGAACGACACCAACGCGUGCACACAGAAGAAAAACCUCAAAAAUAUUUUGUGAUAACCUUUUUCAAUAACUUAAAACAUAUUGCAAAAAUUAAAAAAAAUGUCAAACAAAAAUUGUUUAUGACAUAAUUUUCUAUUAAAAAGCCCUCUAACAAUUUUAUUUAUCGUACAUAAUAUUACACAUGUAACGUGAGCUACAUGUUACAUAUUAUUUUAGCUUCGGUGCGG
This is a long non-coding RNA of Adelges cooleyi (spruce gall adelgid), 1041 nucleotides long. RefSeq lists it as uncharacterized. The record is from RefSeq and is a predicted model, not a curated record. NCBI's taxonomy places the organism in Eukaryota, Metazoa, Arthropoda, Insecta, Hemiptera, Adelgidae. The transcript has 5 exons.